This 804-nucleotide long non-coding RNA is filed under the name Salmo salar (Atlantic salmon). Its description in RNAcentral is "lncRNA (ENSSSAG00000115694.1)". The record is from RNAcentral. Lineage: Eukaryota; Metazoa; Chordata; Actinopteri; Salmoniformes; Salmonidae.
UUCAUUAGAGGAAACAGGAUGGGUCUGGUUGGUCAGACGAAGCAAGGAGGCUGGUGUUGAUUGUUUCCAUGAUGUCAGAAGGAGACUAGGACACUGGAGCUCACAGCUUAUAUAGUCUUAAUUAAAGUUAUCUUCUGCUGCUUCCUGUGGAUAUGUUUACAUAUUACAUGUUUACUGUUUACAAUGUGUGUGUGUGUGUGUGUGUGUGUGCAUGCUUGCAUGCGUGUAUGUGGUUUUCCUGGUCUGAGGGAAACUAAACCAGGCUUUAGACCAGGCUUUAGACCAGGCUUUAAACCAGGCUUUAGACCAGGCUUCAGACCAGGCUUUAGACCAGGCUUUAAACCAGGCUUUAGACCAUGCUUUAGCUCAGUGAGUUAACAUUGUAUUGCAAUGCGAAAGCAGGUUCAAAUCCAGUUAGUCACAUACGUGUGUGUGUACCUAUGUUUGUUUGUUCAUGCGUGCAUGAGUCUGUCUGUGUGAGUCUUGUGUAUCCCCACAAGGUUAGCUAUACAAGACUGUGUGUGUGUGUAUGUUGGGGUGUCAGUGUAAGUAUGUGUGAGUGUGUGGAUAGAGUCCAGUGUGAGUGCAUAGAGUUGUUAGUGCAAAAAAGGGGUCAAUGCAGGUAGCCCAAGAACCCCUUUGAUUAGCUAUUUAGAAGUUUUGUUUAGAAGUCUUAAGGCUUGGGGGUAGAAGCAGUUCAGGGUCCUGUUGGUUCCAGACUUGGUGCAUCGGUACCGCUUGCCAUGCGGUAGCAGAGAGAAUACUCUGUGGUUGUUGUCUUGGCACCAAACUGCUAAGUCUCUG